RNAcentral lists this ribosomal RNA (397 nucleotides) under Aspergillus terreus. RNAcentral's name for it is "partial large subunit ribosomal RNA". Lineage: Eukaryota; Fungi; Ascomycota; Eurotiomycetes; Eurotiales; Aspergillaceae. The record is from RNAcentral.
GGGGGUAUGACCCCCCCUAACGAACAACGUUUUUGUUAAAAAAAAAAAAAAGUGAAAACCACCCCCCCCCCCGGCGGGGUUGAUAGAUAUAAGUGUUUCGCGCUUCCCAGAGCGAUAUAGAGCACGAGCCGUGCCCAGACCGAUAGCGAACAAGUAGAGUGAUCGUUUUAAGAGAAGCACUUUUUAAAGAGAGUUAAGCAGCACGUGAAAUUGUUUAAAGGGAAGCGCUUGCAACCAUUCUGGCUGGUGUGUUUCAGCGGGGCUUGGGCCCGGUGUACUUGGUCUGGGCGGGCCAGAUUGGGUUUGGGCGGCCGGUCAAAGGCUUAUGGCCUGUAGCGCCCUUCGGGGCGCCUUAUAAACCAAGGUACUGUGCCACCUGCCGGUCUUGGAACGCGUU